GGGACUACAGGGGUAUCUAAUCCCGUUUGCUCCCCUAGCUUUCGUGCAUCAGCGUCAGUAAAGACCCAGUAAGCCGCUUUCGCCACCGGUGUUCCUGAUGAUAUCAACGCAUUUCACCGCUCCACCAUCAGUUCCGCUUACCUCUGUCUCACUCCAGCCAUGUGGUUUCCAACGCAGUUCCACGGUUGAGCCGUGGCAUUUCACAUCAGACCUUCAUAGCCGCCUACGCACCCUUUAAGCCCAGUAAUUCCGAACAACGUUUGCACCACUCGUAUUACCGCGGCUGCUGGCAC
Molecule: unclassified non-coding RNA, 293 nt
Filed under: uncultured Pirellulaceae bacterium
Lineage: Bacteria; Pseudomonadati; Planctomycetota; Planctomycetia; Pirellulales; Pirellulaceae
Description: contains 16S-23S intergenic spacer region
Source: RNAcentral